Molecule: ribosomal RNA, 429 nt
Filed under: Actinomycetes bacterium
Lineage: Bacteria; Bacillati; Actinomycetota; Actinomycetes
Description: Actinobacteria bacterium partial 16S ribosomal RNA
Rfam family: Bacterial small subunit ribosomal RNA
Source: RNAcentral
UAGGGAAUCUUCCGCAACGGGCGAAAGCUUGACGGAGCAACGCCGCGUGAGUGAUGAAGGUCUUCGGAUCGUAAAACUCUGUUAUUAGGGAAGAACAAAUGUGUAAGUAACUAUGCACGUCUUGACGGUACCUAAUCAGAAAGCCACGGCUAACUACGUGCCAGCAGCCGCGGUAAUACGUAGGUGGCAAGCGUUAUCCGGAAUUAUUGGGCGUAAAGCGCGCGUAGGCGGUUUUUUAAGUCUGAUGUGAAAGCCCACGGCUCAACCGUGGAGGGUCAUUGGAAACUGGAAAACUUGAGUGCAGAAGAGGAAAGUGGAAUUCCAUGUGUAGCGGUGAAAUGCGCAGAGAUAUGGAGGAACACCAGUGGCGAAGGCGACUUUCUGGUCUGUAACUGACGCUGAUGUGCGAAAGCGUGGGGAUCAAACAGG